RNAcentral lists this ribosomal RNA (441 nucleotides) under uncultured bacterium. Its description in RNAcentral is "partial 16S ribosomal RNA". It matches the Rfam family "Bacterial small subunit ribosomal RNA", at positions 338 to 795 of the family's 1533-position model. The record is from RNAcentral.
CCUACGGGAGGCAGCAGUAGGGAAUAUUGCUCAAUGGGGGAAACCCUGAAGCAGCAACGCCGCGUGGAGGAUGAAGGUUUUCGGAUUGUAAACUCCUUUUGUUAGAGAAGAUAAUGACGGUAUCUAACGAAUAAGCACCGGCUAACUCCGUGCCAGCAGCCGCGGUAAUACGGAGGGUGCAAGCGUUACUCGGAAUCACUGGGCGUAAAGGGCGCGUAGGCGGGAUAGCAAGUCAGAUGUGAAAUGCUAUGGCUUAACCAUAGAACUGCAUUUGGAACUGUUAUUCUAGAGUAUGGGAGAGGUAGGGGGAAUUCUUGGUGUAGGGGUAAAAUCCGUAGAGAUCAAGAGGAAUACUCAUUGCGAAGGCGACCUGCUAGAACAUAACUGACGCUGAUGCGCGAAAGCGUGGGGAGCAAACAGGAUUAGAUACCCUUGUAGGUC